RNAcentral lists this long non-coding RNA (26158 nucleotides) under Brassica napus (rape). RNAcentral describes it as "long non-coding RNA (BNAP_LNC018582)". The record is from RNAcentral. Lineage: Eukaryota; Viridiplantae; Streptophyta; Magnoliopsida; Brassicales; Brassicaceae.
CAUUUCUAAGUUUAUGUCACAAAAAUAGCCUUCAAAAACUAAAAUGACCAGAAUAGCAUUUUAUCUUUUAAAAAAUUUAAUUUUUUUUUAUUUUUCAAAAUUUGAAAUCUUAUCCCAAAACCCCACUCGCCAACUCUAAACCUUAAAACCUAAACUCUAAACCCUAAACCCUAAACUCUAAACCUUAAAUCCUAAACUCCACCCCUUAACCUUAAACCCUAAUGUCUAAAUUAAUUUACUGCUAUUUUGGUCAUUUUUAUUCUUAAAUGCUAUAUUCGUGACAAAAACUUUUUUAGUGCUAUCCUAGUCAUUUUCUCAAAAAAAAAAUCCAUCAAUCAACAAGAUUAUGACUAAUACAAAACAUAUCUUAGAGAUAGAGAGCACAGUUUACCUCCACAGCUUCAAAAGUUAAGUUCAAAAUCUCAACGUUUUUAAAACCAAUAAUGAGAUUAAUGGGAUUGAAAGUGUUUGCAUGCUCUUCUUGCCAGACAGCUUCCUCAUCCGCACAAAGAUUGAGAUUAGCUUCAACAAGUGAGUCGAGAUUAACAGUUGGAUACUCCUUAGGAACAUAGUCAGAAUAGUCUAAGUAGGUUAGAGCAGGAGUAUCAAAGCUAAUGCUGUCAAACUCAUAAGCAAGGCCCCGAGGAUCAUCUAUUAUACCCUCCUCAUAGUAAGCCUUUGAUCAGGGUGGUACUAGAGACGGUGCAGCACCAUUUCCAGCGUUCCCACUCGUUACCAUUCAUCACUAACUCUUGGAGAACAGGGGAAACAGAAAGAAGCGUUUUAAACGUGCAGCGGCCAUCAUCAACACCAAAGAACCGAACAGAGUCAAGAAAGAGAGACUUGAGAGCUGGAAGAAAAACACCCGCAGGGAGAGCUUCAAUCAACAAACCAGACCCUAGUUUCAUAGUGGAAACUGUCUUGCAGGCAAAAACAUGACAAGGCAGUGAAUAGUGUUCUUCUCUAUCAACUUCGAUAUGGAGUUGAAGAACAAGAAGACCACAUGACGGAGACAACGAUUGAUAAGAUCUUCGUACUGCGCUUCAUGUUUACAUUUGAGUGAAAAUUUGCGGACACGAGAGCUGACAGGUAGAGCCAAUACUAGAUCCACAAAAUCCUUGAAACCUACAAGUGAGCGACCAUUGAAACGAAGCUUCGAUAUGAUGGUAAACAGAUUACGCCAACGUUUUGAGAGAAGAGUAGCGAAAGCAGCAUUCCUUUGCCGAGAGAAAGGAGCCAAUGUGGUGAAUUAUAUCAUCUGGUAGAUUACUGAUUCUAUCCAUUCACCACUGAGAAGAAGAACAAAGUCUAGACCCUCAAAUCAAGCACAAACUAGAUUACCUUAAUCAGAAAGGCAUAGAAUAGGGCUCUUCAAUAUGGUAAAACCGAACCGUACCGAAUCGAACCGAACCGAAAUAGCCAAUAUAGUUUGGUUUUGGUAUAUACCAUAUAAACCGAAUGGAUAUAUUUUUUUAUAAAAACCGUAGGAUUUGGAUAUGGUUUGGUAUAUAACCAAUUAAACCGAAUAAACCGAACAAAACCGAUUAAAAGUAGAAACAUGUAAAUAUGUAUCUAUUUUAUAACAAUACAUGAAAAUCUAUUUGUUACAUAAGUUAAAUUUGUGUUAAUAACUAUUACCAUAAUUUUAUAGUAAUAAAGAACCUUAAUUUGUAAAACACUUGAACUAUAGUUAAAUAGCAAUACAUCGCAAUUCAGACAUUUUAUUUUCUAAGUCUUCUUUUGAUCUUUUUGCUUUAUUUUAGUCUUCACUAAAUUAAUAUGAAGAUUAUAAAUUUAAUGGACAAUAAUUAAUGAAAAAUUUUCACAACUUUUUUUUUAUCUGUAAACAAACAGAAUUUCGUGUUCGAUUGAAAAAGCAUGACUUUAAUGAACACUAAAUAUGGAAGAGUGGAAAAACUUUUCUUUCAUGUUUCUGUUUUGUUUCAUAUUUUUAUUUUCAAAAUUUGAAGCUUUGAUUUUAGUUAUAGAUUUGAUUAUUUUAUUUGAUGGUAGAAGCAUUUUUACUUUUUUGUUCAUUUAUUUGAACAUGUAAUAUAUUUUUAAUAAAUGACUGUGUUGACAAUAUGACUCUAAAAUUCAUAUAAUAUGAUCUCAAACUAAAUAAUUAUGUUUUUUUGGUAUAAAACCGAAUAAACCGAAAACCGACGAUAUAUAAACCGAACCGAACCGAAGUAAAUAUGAAUUUAAAAUGGUAGUUAUAUUUUACUAACCGAAAUACCGAAAACCGAAAAAAACCGAACUGAUAUCCGGAUUGAACACCCCUAGCAUAGAAGAAUAAGAAUCGGUGAAUCGCAAUACCUUAACGAAACGCAGGUUUCCAUCUUCCAAGAGAAUUUGUGCAAUCUUCAAAACCCUCGAAAUGUAUCAGUUUCGUUUCGUUUGAUAAAAAAGAUAAAAGAAUUAACCUUUAUAAUAACAAAAUGGAAAUUCUCGCCGUUCCCGGAUAUCGAACCCGGGUUAACCGGUGACAGGCGGGAAUACUGACCACUGUACUACAACGACUUCGUUGUUGAUUAAAACCAAAAGCGUUUUGUUUUCUAAAGGUUAGACCGGGCUAAACCAAUCCUAUAGAUAUAAAAUUGAGUGGGUAAUUCGAAUUCGUUUCUGAAACACACAACUUCUUCACCAAUCUUCUUCCGUCUUUAAGCUUCAUCAAUCUGAAUCCUAAGCUCUCUCUCUCUCUUCAAAACCAACACCUUUGAUUCUUACAUUCCCUCACAUUCGUUUCUUAUGAAACUUCAUUUCGUCUGCUCAAGAAGAACACGUGCUGCCUCUUUACAUCAGCUCCGCUUCCUCCAAACACCUCGCAUCGAUGCUCGCAUCAUCAAAACCGGGUUCAACACAGACACUUGUCGUUCCAAUUUCAUCCUCGAGGACUUUCUCCGUAGAGGUCAAGUUUCCGCUGCACGCAAGGUGUACGACGAAAUGCCUCACAAGAACACCGUCUCCACGAACACCAUGAUCUCCGGCUACGUCAAGUCCGGUGAAGUUUCCUCCGCUAGAGAUCUCUUUGACGCCAUGGUGGAUCGAACUGUGGUCACUUGGACUAUCUUGAUGGGUCUGUACGCUGGUAACAACAGGUUCGACGAAGCCUUCGAGCUUUUCCGACAGAUGUGCAGGUCUUGUACCUUGCCUGAUCAUGUCACCUUCGCCACGCUUUUACCAGGGUGCGACGACGCGGUUGCUGUGGCGCAAGUUCAUGCCUUCGCCGUCAAGUUAGGGUUUGAUAGGAACCCUUUUCUCACUGUUUGCAAUGUCUUUGUUAAGUCUUAUUGCGAGAUAGGGAGGCGUGAUUUGGCGCGUGUGGUGUUUGAGCAGAUUACGGAGAAGGACUCUGUCACGUUCAACACGCUUAUUACAGGGUACGAGAAGGAUGGUUUGUACAUUGAGGCGGUUCGUCUCUUUGUCGAAAUGCAGCAGUUGGGUCACAAGCCUUCGGAUUUCACGUUUUCUGGUGUUCUCAAGGCCGUUGUUGGGCUUCAUGAUUAUGUUCUUGGUCAGCAACUCCAUGGUUUAGCGGUUUCUACUGGAUUCUCCAGGGAUGUGGCUGUUGGGAAUCAGAUUCUUGAUUUCUACUCGAAGCAUGAUUGUGUUGUAGAGACUAGGAAGCUUUUCAACGAGAUGCCUGAGUUGGAUUUUGUUUCUUACAAUGUGGUCAUCUCAGGGUAUUCACAGGCUGAGCAAUACGAGGAAUCCUUGGGACUGUUCAGAGAGAUGCAGUCCAUGGGGUUUGAUCGGAGAAACUACCCUUUCGCGACGGUGCUGAGCAUCGCAGCUAACUUGUCAUCGUUGCAUAUUGGCAGACAGGUGCACUGCCAGGCCAUCGUGGCGACUGCUGAUUCGAUCCCGCAUGUCGGAAACUCUUUAGUGGAUAUGUACGCGAAGUGUGAGAUGUUUGAGGAAGCUGAGUUGAUAUUCGAGAGUCUAUCACAACAGAGCACUGUUUCAUGGACUGCGUUGAUCUCAGGUUAUGUUCAGAAAGGGCUUCAUGGAGAUGGUCUUAAACUGUUCACCAAGAUGCGAGGAGCGAAUCUACGAGCAGACCAGUCCACUUUCGCUACUGUACUGAGAGCUUCGGCUGGUUUCGCUUCUUUGUCUCUGGGGAGGCAGCUCCACGGGUUCAUAAUAAGGUCAGGAAACUCAGAGAACGUCUUCUCCGGUUCUGGACUUGUUGAUAUGUACGCCAAGUGUGGUUCUAUCAAAGACGCGGUUCAAGUGUUCCAAGAGAUGCCUGAUAGGAAUGGAGUUUCUUGGAAUGCUUUGAUCUCAGCUUACGCUGACAACGGAGAUGGAGAAGCAGCGAUUGGUGCGUUUGAUAGGAUGAUUCACUCAGGUCUCCAGCCAGAUUCAGUCAGCAUCUUGAGCGUCUUGACUGCAUGUAGUCACUCUGGAUUCGUUGAACAAGGAACCGAAUAUUUCGAGGCAAUGUCUCGGGUCUACGGGAUCACUCCAGGAAGGAAACAUUACGCCUGCAUGCUGGAUCUGCUGUGCAGGAACGGGAGAUUUGAAGAAGCAGAGAAGCUGAUGGAGGAAAUGCCCUUUGAGCCAGAUGAGAUAAUGUGGUCAUCAGUGUUGAACGCAUGCCGGAUUCACAAGAAUCAGAGCCUUGCUGAGAGAGCAGCAGAGAAGCUCUUUAGUAUGGAGAAGCUCAGGGACGCUGCUGCUUAUGUAAGCAUGUCAAAUAUCUAUGCUACAGCAGGAGAAUGGGAAAAUGUUAGUCUUGUCAAGAAAGCUAUGCGUGAACGUGGAAUCAAGAAAGUUACUGCGUCUAGCUGGGUUGAAGUGAACCACAAGAUCCACGACUUCUCAUCAAAUGACCAGAGACACCCGAGGGGAGAUGAGAUUGUGAGAAAGAUCGAUGAACUGACAGCCGAGAUUGAAAGACUAGGGUACAAGCCUGACACGAGUUGUGUAGGACAAGACGUAGAUGAGCAGAUGAAGAUCGAAUCGCUUAAGUUCCACAGUGAGCGUUUAGCCGUUGCGUUUGCUCUUAUCAGUACACCAGAAGGGUCUCCGAUCCUUGUGAUGAAGAACUUGAGAGCCUGCAGGGAUUGCCACGCUGCUAUAAAACUGAUAUCGAAGGUUGUAAAGAGGGAGAUAACUAUAAGGGACUCAAGAAGAUUCCAUCACUUUAGAGAUGGGCUCUGUUCUUGUGGGGAUUACUGGUGAAACCUCAAGUUUUGACUCAGAGAACAAAUGUAAAAACAUUGGAAUCUUUCUUCUGAUGUAUGAAGUGAAUUUUUAGACUUAAACCGUGUCGAGUUACAAUGUAAUUUGAAUUGGUUUUCUUUUUCAGUUCGGUUCAGUUCCGGUUUAAGUGAAGUAGUUACGCUUCUAUGCUUUUGCUGAACCGUAGACGAGCGAGCGAGCAAUUGGAUCCAGAGAGGAGGAAGAAUGAAGAAGGCGGAAGGAGGGGCGGAGAAUCUGCUUGGCUCACCUACUUUCGUGGAUCUAGGAAACGGACGGCUCAGAUGCGCGGAGACUGGUCACGAAGUUGUUGCCGGAGACGAAGAAGCAUACGCUCGUAACAAACGGUGUCGUCUGGGACUCAUCGAUCACGCUCUAUCUCAUGGGAAAUCUCCUCUCAACAUGUUCUCCCAGUGCCUAAUUUCUCGGUUAGCCCAAGAUUGAAACCUUUGUAGUUGGAUUAUGUUAGCUUAAGUUGUCUAUAGGUUAGUUUUUUUCUUUUUCUUGAAACCGUUGAGGACCAUUGGUUUGCUUGUUUAAGUUGUGUAUUUAGUGCCAGUGCAUCGUUAUGUUUAAAAGUCUUCAAGCUUUUAAGUUAUAUCCUCAGCAUAAAAGUAUGGCUAAAGUAUUUACCUUUCUUCUUGUUUUUUUGGCUAUGUUCUUAGUUCGAAGCUCGUGUGCAAGCUUACAGGGGAUACUGUGAACAAGAACGAGCAACAUAUCUGGAAACACGUGAAUGGGAAGAGAUUUCUACACAGAUUAGGUCAAUGAACAUCAGAUAUUGACUGAUUCUAAUUUUGUUAUUCCUGGCUUUUACUUAAUGUUUUCGUGUUGAUGUAUCUGAUAGAGCAAGUGGAAAGAGGAGCUGGAACAAGCGGAAAGACCGAGAAAAUACAAGUAACCUACAAACAUAGACGCCUUAAGGAAGAUACUGAUUCCGAUGAUUCAGAGUUUUGGAUGCUUAAUUCAAGUUCUGGUUCAGAGUCAGAGCAGGAAAGUGAUGAAGAAAACUGCAAAGGUGCCUCUUUUUGUUGUUUUUUUUUGUUGGUUCUACUUUCAUCUUCGUAUCGGAACUUCAACUAGAUUUGCAUCUCGUUUUGGUACAGAUUCUCAUUGUGAUGCCAAAGAAUCCGAGGAGCUCUCGGAAAGGUAAAUGUAUACACUUACUCUUAUUUCUGUGUAUUAUAUAUAUUCAAAAAAUUGCGGAUUGGUUUUGUUGUUCACCUCUAGUUGUUUUGUCUCUUCAACAGAACAAAGAGAAUGUCAAUAGAGAUUGGACCAAGUAGCUUUGCUUCGAGGAAGAAAAAGAUUAGGAAUAGUAAUGAGUCAUGUUAAGAAAAGAUUUGUUGCAAUAAGUAGAUACAGUUUUGUUUACAAAAUAAAAUAAAAAAGAAGCCUUUAUCGGAUGAUGUUUGGUGCAUGUAGUGAAUCUUCCCACCGUUUUAAUCAGCCACAAUGGGCCCUUCAGUUGCUCGUGUAUCACACACACCAUCCUACAGAAACAUAUAUAUAUAUAUAUAUAUAUAUAUAUAUACCAGAACCGUAUAUCUGAAAGAGGAACAUCAAGAAACAACACAGGCCUGCACGCAGACAUCAUCUCAUAAGUUAUGAAAUGGUAUGCAUAGAGAGGCAAAGAGCUAGUAAGAAGGAACAACAAUCCACCUGAAGCUUAAAUGGAGAAGAGAAGCUGAGAUGUUGUAUAUUAAAGACCAACAAUUAAACGUUUUCUCUUUGUGGUAUAUCAAAGAUUAAGCGCCUUAAAGCUUCUUGUUUAACUAAUCAUCACCAAAAGUUUGCAUUUAACAUCUCUGUUAAGCGCAAGAAGAAUAUUGUUACACAAGCAAGUAAUAUUGUUCCACAACUCCAUCAGGGUAAAGAGAAUAUAAGGAAUAAGUUUUUUGAUUGAUUAUGUCAUUCUCCCUUAAAAAUGCAUUUAAGAUUAAUCAAAACCACAUUAUUUUCAUAGUCCUCUCAAUUUGACUUAUAAAUAUAACUUGUAUGAUGUGAAUUUUUCAAGAACAUAUUCUUAUUUCUUGGCAAAUACUCUCUCACGAGAUAUUAUAUAUAUGUAGUAUCCAAAGAAUCAUUUUGGGAGUGAUUGGUUGUGGCUAUAGAUGCUCUAAACAGCCAAAAUUUAGUCUAAAACUAUAUAUAUCAACCAAUCGAGUUUUCCUUUCCUUAAAAAUCACAACAAAAAAAAUUACUACAAAAUGAAAAUAUGGCUGUAGAGAACUUUAUUUCCAGAGAAAAAAAUAGUGUUUUACAAAGUUACAGCAAAAUAAUCUACAUCAAAUAAAUCUACAGUUUAAAUUCUACACCCAAAAACAUAAAGCUACGACUCAUUCCAAUUACCCCUUUAUUUGGUUUCUCUCAACCAUAUUUACAUUAAAUCUACAAUAAUCAUAUCAGUGUUUAACCAAACUAGUACGAGAUUCCUCAUUGUUUUUGCAUUGGUAAUCUUUUUAUGACUCGCGUCAUAUAUUGAAUGUUUUGAUCAAUAUCAAUCAACAAGCAUUUUAUUUCCUAUGGCAAACAAUUCAUAGGGUAGCAGGACUCUCCAAAAUUUAUUUUGGGGCAUUGAUGAAUCUGUUUCCAUUCAUUCCACUUGAUCUCUUAAGGGUAAUAGUGUUGUUUAUAAUGGUUAAUAGUGUUGUUUAUAAUGUUGAUAGAUCCAGAGACUGGAGCAUGCUUUAGAAUCUGAAUCCGAAAAAAAAAUGGUGAUGACUGAUGACAGACGAGCAUGCUCCAGUCUCUGACACUGAAAGUGAGGCCAGCAAAGACCAGUGAAAUUGGGAAAGUAAACUAUAACUAAUUAGUGUUUGAUUUCGGUAAAAUGCAAAAUAUUGAAAAGCAGUUGUAUAUACGAAGAGGCAAAGGAUAAUAAAGAAGAGAAAUUACCUAACUAGGAGACAGCCUUUAACGUAACCAUCGCCGAACCACAGCCACAAUGUUCAUGCGAUUAUUUGAGGAGAGCGAACACCAGGAGGGCCACUUCAGUGGAACCACUGGAAAAGGAUGGAGGAAAAACGCAACUGAGCUGAAACCGAAGCUCCCAGCCGCAACCAAACACCCUGACACACCUAACGCGUAACCACCAGGGAACACAAAAGAAUGGACCUACGACUCCGCCUCCGUUGAAACCCCACGCGCUGCCAUCACCGGGGAACACUACGGCAGCAUCCCAAGCAGAGCAGAGGGAACAGAACUCACCAAGACCGGCGAGAACCAGAACCCUAGCCCAGUGACGGCCCUGAGCACAAGCGGCAGAAGCACAUGCUUCCGGCCCUGUUUAAAUUAUUUAAAUUUUCGGCCCAAAGUUACCAAAAUUUUCGGUAGUUCAGAUGGCUUACAAUGUGUUUUAGUGUGUAUUAGGUGGGGUGUUCGAAUCUUUCAAGCCACAAUUUCUUUUAGUCAAUUAAUAAUAGACUCAAAUUUUUAAUUUUGCUUCCAACCUUUAAAUUAUACGGGUCGGGUCUGCCCUAGCCUCGCACCGAACCCGAAAAUUAAGUUAAAAUUUUGCAACACUACAAUAUUUAUUGAUUGUAGAAUGCCGAAUACAAAUGUUUGUCUCUUGAAUGUAUCAUCGUUGUCGAAGAGUUAACAUAUUACAACUCAUUUUAAUUAUUUUAAAGACUUUAUAUGCAUAAAAAGAAAUUAAGUUUUUGGGGCUAACACAAAUCACCAAAAUCAAAUAGACAACAUCGAUUUUAAAAUGACGAAAUGAGAUUACUAUCGACUCUCCACGUGAUUUCAUUUUCUAUAUUUUUAAAAUAGUGUUUUUGUUCUUGUUUAUGUUUCACUGAUAUGAGUUUUGUUUCUUUUUUUUAGUUAUUAUGUGAAUUUGGUGAAUUACAUUGUCAAUUAAACAAGAUAGAUAUAUGUAAAAAUUAGUUCUAAUCCAGAUACAUAUGUCUAAAAAUCAAAAUUUUGAAGAAAAUCACCGGAAAACUUUUAGUGUUCAAAUCUAAUAUAUCAAAUUGUUAUAGAAUAUAAGUGCAUACUCGAAAUAUAAAUGUAUGUAUAGUGUAUAUUCACCAGUUCUGUCUAAAAAUCAUCUAAUUCUAUGACAAAAGAUACUUAUUUUAUUAACCUACUCUUUUGAGAUUUAGUUACUUAAGAAUAUACCGAUAAAAAUAUAUAUAAUACUUCAUUCUAGUAUAUGUAAACUAUUGUAUAAACAAAGAACUAUUUGAUUUAUUUGAUAAUAAACCAGAAAAUUUAUAAUAAAUAGUUCAAAUCUCUCAUUCUUACAAUUAUAAUAACUAGAUAUGGUAUUACGGAGAAACAAAUAUUAGACGAAUGAUCAAAUCUCUCAUUCUUCGAACAAACUCAAAAGCAAGUAAUUAAUUAGAAUAUUGUUAUGAUAUUUCGUUAAAAGAUUUUUAUGAAUAAAAAAUCAAGACUAAAUUAUUUAAUCUGAAUAAAAUCAUAUAUAUAUAGUGCUUCCAAUAUUAAAAAUCACUUCGAUUUGAAGAAGUGUAUUUAUGAGAUUGUCAAAAUCAAAUAACAUAUUAGAAACCACAUAUUUAAAAAAUAAUUUGUAUACAUAAAAUUAAAUACAUUAUAAUAAGUAUAUAAAUCAAAAUCAAUACCUUUCUUUUAUUACAACCUAUGUUUCUGGUAAAUAAAUCAAAAAAAUCAUUUUAUUUACUUUAUAUGGUAUAUAAUUAAACUUUAGUGAUAUUGACAUAUAUAUAAUAUUUUAAUAUAAAUAUUUAUUAUUGACACUUCAUACUCAUAUAAUUUUAUUAACAUUUUUAUAUUUGAUGUGACAAAAAUUUAAACCGUUAAUCACAAAAAAUAUUUAUGUGAAAUUUUUCAAUACAAAUUUCAAAAUUAAAAUACUAAUAUCUCAAUAAUGUUUCAAUUCAAAAUUUGAAAUUAACAUAUUUAUAUAUUUUCAUAUAGUAAACAAUUUAAUUUUAAUGAUAUGUAUAUAUAUUAUGAACAUCAACUAAUGAGACUUCAUAUUCAUAUGAUUUAUGAUCAUUUGUAUCUUACUUGAACAAAAAACUAUUGAUCACAAAUUUUCAGUGUGAGACUUUUACUAUUUUUAGUAGUUUACAGUCGUUUUAUAAUAUCAAAAAUAACAUAUAGGAGAAAAAAAAAUAUAAUUUUGUUAUUAUAUGCUUAAUAUGAUUGUUUAAUUUAUUUUAAUAAUAUAAAAUUAAAAAAGAGAUAUGAUACAAAAAUAAUUAUCAAAUAUGUAUGAUUCAUAAUCAUUAAUUGUCAUAUAUAUAUGUUAAUCAUAUUGGAUAAUUCCAUAGCUUUUAUUUAAGAAAAAAAUUGAGAAUAUUCUUUUGUACACUACUAAUCAAUUUGAGAGUUAAUUUAAUAAAAAAAUGUAAUAUAUAUAUAUUUAUAUGGACCAACUUAUUUUCUAAGGAUUUUAAGAAUCAUCUUAGUGAUGACACGUGGUUACGAAAAGAUGUUGUAAUGCUUCAGAAUUAAUAUAUACGAGAUGUUUGAAUUUAUAUUAUUUAUUAUUUUAUAAGUAAUAGUGAUAUCAUUGGGGUCCCAAAAUUAAAUUUGUAAUCAACAAGUUUAUUUAUUAUCAAAGUAAAAGCGUACUGGAUAAAGGUUAUAUUGUAGUCUUUUUUUUUUACCUAAAGAAAUAUAUUGUAAUCUUACUUUAAUCUUAGGGAAAAUUGCCAAAUAUGACUCACAACUUGAUUUCAAAUGCAAAAUAAACUCAAAUUUGAAUCAAAUGCAAAACUAACCUAAAAUGCUAUUGAAAUUACAACCAGCCCCUUGUGAACAAACAAAAAAACCAAUUUUUUUUUUACGUUUCUAACCCCCGUAAGUCGUCUGUCCAGACGACUUUCCAGUAAGUCGUCCUGGACUAGUUCUACUUAGAAAUAAUUUAAAAUUUUUGUAAAAAAUAUUUUGAUAAGUAAAAAAUUGAAAUCAUGUAAUUAACAUAUGUUUUAAGAGAUAUAAAUUAAGAUAUAACAAAAGUUAAUUGUUUUCAACAUAGAUGAGUGAAAGUAGUGAGUCAUGAUAUUCUUUGGUUUAGGUUUUGCCAACAUAUGUUGUAGUAUUGUAUGUGUUCUUAGGGUUAGAUUUUGGAAUGCAUAAAUGUUUUUUUGAAAACUUUAAAAUUUACCUAAGUGUGUUUAUUUCUGUGUAUAGUAAACACUAUUUAAGUAUAACUACGGCUUUAUAACGUGGUUAGUUAGUUAAUUUAGUCAAUUUAGUUUAGGCGUUAAAUUUAGGGUCUGGGACGACUUACUAGUAAGUCGUCCAAACCGGACCGAACCUUUAAUUUUUCAAUGUACUUUUAAACCUAACCGGAUUAUUUACCAGACAUAUAUAAGGUGUUUUUUUCUAUUCACUGUUUCGCGAAAUUCAGAAAACCCUAACGCCGUUUCUCUCAAAGGCGAUUUCGAAGGCGAUUUUCGUCGAUUUUCGUCGAUUCUCUCUAAUCCAUCAUUCUCACCGCCGGUUAUCUCUACGCCGUUAUCACCGUAGUUCUCACCACCGUUCUCACAGCCGCUUCCUCUAUAUAAGAUCUGAGAGGAAACCCUAGCGCACAUUCUCUCAGAGGCGUCUCGUUGAACUCCGCCGCCGAUAAAUUAUAUCUCUUACUGUCGAGUGAUUGAUUGAGGAAAAGAUGAACAUAAAACAUUGUCUCUAUCAAUUUAUACACUCGUUCUUUUUUUCACGUCUAUUUUUGCAGAUAUAUAACCGCUAUGUCGAAGGCGACUAUAUCUUCUCCGAAUUUUCAGGUCGGCUUUAAAAUGUUAUACUGGAAGUCUUGGAAGACUUAUAAUUAAGUCGUCUGCAAAGUCUUCCAGCUGGAAGACUUUCCAGACGACUUAAUUAUAAGUCUUUCAGCUGGAAAACUUGCCAGACGACUUAAUUAUAAGUCUUUGAUUGUUUUGAGAUGGUUGACUUAAUUAUAAGUCUUUGAUUGUUUUGAGAUGGUUAUCUUUGAUUGUUUUGCAGGAAAAAAAAUUGAUAUACCAGAACUCCCCCGUAGGAUACAUACAUUAGGGGAAGAGCCCGCCGCAGUGCAUAGCAUUUCAUAUCAUACUUGUUGGACGUUGCAUACUGCUUUAAAGAAAGCUCUUCAUGUUGACGAAUAUGAAGAGCUGAAGGAGUUGAAGUUGGGAGUUUUCAUCAAGUUCCAAGAGCUGGGAUUUGAUUGGGCUUCAAGGCUGGUUCACUACAUGCUCGGUUUCCAGCUGGACAUAAAGAAGAAGUAUGAGCUGUGGAGACUCGUUGGUCCAGAACCUGUGAGGUUUUCACUGUUAGAGUUUGAAAACCUCACUGGUCUAAACUGCGAGUACAUCGAGGACCUUGAGAGACCUCACUGUGUUGUUUCAAAGGAGUUGACUUCUUUCUGGGAGAUGUUGGGAGUUCAUGUCGAAGCUGGGCCAUAUACUCAGGAGAUAAUAGCAGCAUUUGAGAGAUGCAAAGGGUGGUCUCGGGAUUAUCGCAAGCGGCUCGCGUACCUUGCCAUCUUCAUUGGAUACAUUGAAGGGAGAAAGUAUUCAACCCCUACACGGGUUAGUCUGGCAAGGCUAGUGAUGGAGCUAGAACGGUUUGAGAAUUAUCCAUGGGGGAGAGUCGCGUUUAAGGUGCUGAUGGACUCUGUGAAGGGCAUAGAUAUUUUGGGUUGUUACACUAUUAAUGGGUUUGCGCAAGCUCUCCAGGUCUGGGUGUACACAGCUCUGCCGGAAUUGGGUGCUAAUUAUGGUAAUCCUCUCCCAAACAAUCUGUAUCCACCGAUACUGGCUUACAAGGGUCACAAAGGACGCAUACAGUUUAAAGAGGCUAUCCUCAGUCAGGUAUUUACUUAAAUCUGGACGACUUCUCAUAAAACUUAUAAUUAAGUCGUCUGAUAAGUCUUCCAACUGGACGACUUAGUAGAAGACUUAUAAUUAAGUCGUCUGGAAAGUCUUCCAGCUGGAUGACUUAGUAGAAGACUUAUAAUUAAGUCGUCUGGAAAGACUAUCCUGACUACUUAAUUAUAAGUCUUCUACUAAGUCUUCCAGCUGGAAGACUUUCCAGACGACUUAAUUAUAAGUCGUCCAGCUGGAAGGCUUUCCAGACGACUUAAUUAUAAGUCGUCUGCGAAGUCUUUUCUUUCCAUCUUUCUUAAUCUGUCAAAUAUCUAAGUUCAUAUCUUCUAUUUACUGCAGACGAGGGUGAUCAACUUUGUUCAGAAGGACAUUGGUGAAAUGUUUCCAAAAUGGGAGUUUGAUGUUGAGGACACGCCCGCGGAGAACAUAAUUAAACUCAUGUUUGUGAAGAAACCGUGGAAGUGGACCAUGGAUUGCUGGGAAGUCACCGGUACUUGGGUCAAUACAAAGCCGGCGGUUGUGAGUCCAGCGAAGAAAAAAGUAGUGAAAGAAGACAGUCCAAGACCUCGGAAGAAAGCUCGUAAAGAGGCUAGUGAAGAGGCUAGUGAAAAGGCUAGUGAAGAGGCAGCUGCAGUGGCUAGUGAAGAGGCAGCUGCAGAGGCUAUUGAAGAGGUUCAUACGACUGUUGGUGGGUUGACCAAAGAGGAUAUUAAAAUCAUGUUCAAGGACAUAGUUGAUGCCAUGAGGGAAUGGUUUGGGACGUGCCUUAAGGAGAUCAAGUAUCUGUCGGAAAGGGUGGAAGCUGUGGAGAAGAAGGUUGGUAUCACCACAAAACGGAAAGGGACAUCAGCUCAAAACACUACCCCUCCACGUAAACCGACGCUCGAACCCGGGGUUAGUAACGAAUCCUCUCCCAACAAGAGAUUGACUAGACAAAGUCUUAAGAAUAAGAACUGAAAAAUUGCAUUUGCUUUGUUUCUUGUAUGUCAGAACAUGUGUGCUUUUUUUAUAGUGUAUGAAAUGGAUCUUUGGACAAAGUCAUUGGUUAUUAUUGUUUGAAAUGGAUCUUUGGUUAUUAUUGUAUAAACCCAUCUUGUAUAUUGCAGAAUGAAAGUGUUAAUGGGACGAACGCGGGAAGGAAGAGCUUGCCGGAGGAUAAAGGUCCAGAUGUGCACGCAGAUGCUAGUUCCUCGAAAGAUAAAGCUCCAGAACCGAGCCUUGUUCUAUUGAAAAAAAAUCAAUCCACUGUUUCGGAUUUACAGAAGGAGGAUGCUAGAUAUCUGGAAAAGAGGGAUGCUGCUUUGGCACUUUGCCGUGCAAAGAGUGAUCGAACAAGGAAACUUGCUGCCUCACAGCAAUCUCCUUAUACGGCAAACAGCACGGCCAAAGUGAUCAUUCCAAACAAAAAGCUUUAUCGAGGCUAUAAUCCUUUUGCACUAAUUGACAAGAAGAAGUUGAAGGAGCUUGCUGAUUAGUUGAAAACUUGUCCGUAAGUGUUUGCUUUUCCCAUAAUAGCUUGCUUUAGUCUACAAAAACUGAUUGCUUUUCAACAUUUUAUGUUUGCAAUCAUUAUAGAACAUCUCUCGAUAAAAAACCACGUACAAGUAGAACUUGGUGGUAUCAAAUCCUCCGGACCUCCUUAGAGUGGUUGGAGGACUGUGUAAGUCUUCUGCUAUGACUUAGAUGACUUACUCAUAAGUCUUUUUGUAGACGAGUUACCAAUAAGUCGUCUACGUAGAAGACUUACCAGACGACUUACCAGACGACUUACCAGUAAGUCGUCUGAUAUCUUCUGACUUGUACCCUAUUUUAUAUGCAGCAUAUUGAUGCUUGGAUUAAUGUCCUGAGGAAGAGGUACGACGCUAACCCACAACAUUUCAGGAGCGAGAGAAUGUGCUUCCUUGAUCAUCUCUUUGCUCGGCAAUGGAGAUUCAACUACAAGGAUUUUAAGGACUCGGAGCCCGAUCCAAACGGUUUAGGAAGAAGACUCCCUGGUGGGGCGUGGAAUUAUUAUGCAGGCACUAUACCAUCAUUUUGCCAAUCGAACAAGGUUUGGGGGACGAAUAUUUAUGAUGUCUAUGCGCCAGUGAACUUCAACGACACUCAUUGGAUUGCUAUGUGGAUAUCGAUCCCUAAGAGGCACAUAGUCGUCUGGGAUAGCAUUUGUUCCAGUAUCUCCCCAGGAGAACUCGAUGUGGUAAUGGAGCCUUUUCUCUACAUGGUCCCUUAUCUGCUUGUUGAGUGCGCUUCCUCAGACAAACAAUGUGCCCAAUACAGCCUGGAGCCAUUCACAUAUGAGAGACCGACCAAUAUACCUUCGGCCCGAGCUGGUGAUUGUGGCGUGUACUCUCUAAAGUACAUUGAAUGUCAUGCUCUUGGGAUAGAGUUUAGUAAAAAAGAAUUUGCUAAGCCCAACGGGAAGACUAUCAGGGAUAAGAUGGCGGUGGAUAUAUUUCAAGAGCUUCCUGGCGCGCAUGAGUUCGAAAACAAGGACAAUGAUGCCAACCUGGGUGCGUAUGAGGGGUGAUAAACAGGUUACGUUAGAUUAUUUGUAUGAUAGAUUAGGCUGAUGUGUGUAUUUGAACUUGAUCCAUAUUUUGUAACCUAUAAGUAUUCUGGAAAACCUUAUGUGCAGUGACCUUUUGUAACCUUUCAGAUAAUAUAAAGGGCAAGACCUUCUUAAAUUUGUUUGGUAGUGCAAUUUGACAAAGAAGUUGAUACAGAUAAGUUCAUAACACAAAUUUUUAAUACAUAGACUAAACACUGGACGACUAACUGGACGACCUUCUGGACGACUUACUUGAAGGUCUUCUGGAAGAAAAAACCCUGGACGACUAACUGGACGACCUUGUGGACGACUUACUUGAAGGUCGUCCACGUCAUUUCUUACAUUGUGGUUUCGUAUGGCCAGUUUCUUUGCAUUUUGAGCAUCUAUAAUGCCAACCUGGGUGCGUAUGAGGGGUGAUAAACAGGCUACGUUAGAUUAUUUGUAUGAUAGAUUAGGCUGAUGUGUGUAUUUGAACUUGAUCCCUAUUUUGUAACAUAUAAGUAGUCUGGAAAGUCUUAUGUGCAGUGACCUUUUGUAACCUUUCGGAUAAUAUAAAGGGCAAGACCUUCUUAAAUUUGUUUGGUAGUGCAAUUUGACAAAGAAGUUGACAUAGAUAAGUUUAUAACACAAAUUUUUAAUACAUAGACUAAACACUGGACGACUAACUGGACGACCUUCUGGAUGACUUACUUGAAGGUCUUCUGGAAGAAAAAACCCUGGACGACUAACUUGAAGGUCUUCUGGAAGAAAAAACCCUAGACGACUAACUUUAAGGUCUUCUGGACGACUUACUUUAAGGUCUUCUGGAUUUCUUCUGUCUUCCCGGACCACGAUAAGUUCAUAACACAAAUUUUUAAUAUAUAGACUAAACACUGGACGACUAACUGGACGACCUUCUGGACGACUUACUUGAAGGUCUUCUGGAAGACUAAACACUGGACAACUAACUUGAAAGUCUUCUGGAAGAAAAAAACCCUGGACGACUAACUAGACGACCUUCUGGACGACUUACUUGAAGGUCGUCCACGUCAUUUCUUACAUUGUGGUUUCGUAUGGCCAGUUUCCUUGCAUUUUGAGCAUCUAUAAACCCUGUGUUGCUUCUGGGGUUUGCGUCCUCUCAUCCUGGAUAGCUCCAACCAAGAUUGUCUUGAUUUCUUCUGUCUUCCCGAACCACGCUUUACAUCCGGAGGAAAGCAUGUGCGUUCCUCAACUUGUUGUCCAACACAAGGAUAUAUAUUCUCUGAGUAUCCUGCAAAUAGAAAAUCCUUUGAGUACACUGGACAUACAAGUGUGGAGAUAUGCAAACCAACAGAUGUUCCAACAGCUAUAGCAUGAGGGCAAGGUAUUUUCUCCACUGCAUAGACACCACAAUCACACUUUCCAUGUUCCAAAUCAACCACACAGUCCAUUUUGCCACCUUUCACAAAGAAUCGCCAUCCAUCAAUUGGUUGUACCGUCAUCGUUUCCGCUAUCUCCGAUCGAACAACAAGCAAGUAUUCAACACCUCGACUAUGUUGAGUUGGGAGACUCAAAGCAUCUUCUCUCCUUUUCCAAAACCACUUUCCUAGCUUCUCCCUUAUGAACUCCAACAGGAACUGAACCGGAAAUCCUCUAGCUCACUUCAGAGCGGAAUUAAUAGAUUCAGCGAUGUUGCUUGUCUUUAUGUUGUACAUGUCCCCCUGAAAAUAAACCCUUGACCAUAGGCUGACGUCGGCAUUCGCCAAAUACGUUGCAAGGUCCGGGUUUGCACUCCGUAUCUCAGCCAUGUACCGGUCAAAAUAUGAAACCGUAUGAGCAUAAGCAGCACCUUUCACCAAGUACAAGAGAUGUUUUCCUUUAUACUUUUUGACAAUGUUAUCUUGAAGGUGAUAAUAACAUAUUCCUCGGGUUGCCCAAGGAAACACCUUAUCACAUGUACUUUUAAUGGCCGUGUGCCGGUCGGAGACUAUCACCAGAGGCUGCUCAUCAGAUACACAACUAGCCAAUUUUGUGAAAAAUCAUUCCCAAGAAGGUUCAUCUUCAGCAUCUACGAUCCCAAAAGCCAAUGGAAAUAUCUGAAAAUUUCCAUCUUGUGCGGCUGCAACUAACAUAACACCUCCAUACUUCCCACUUAGGUGAGUCUCAUCCACCACAAUGACCCUUCUCUGAUACUUAAAACCUUUGAUAGAAGCUCCAAAAGAGAGAAAUAGAUACUUAAAUCUAUUGAUAGAAUCAAGUUCUAUAGCCGUGAUAGAAUCGAGAUUUGCUAAGGAGAUUUGCUCGAGAUAUGAUGGCAGACGCGAAUACCCAUCUUCUGCUGAUCCUCUCACCAAUGUUUGUGCAUAUAAAAGUGCUCUGUAUGAAGUGGUGUAAUCAAGCGUCAUGCAAAACAUGUUCUUCAUUGCAUCAGUGAUAUGUUGCGGAUUCAAACCAUCAAUUAUUCCAACACGAUCAAUGAAAAGCCUACCAACAUACUUCGGAGUACAGUGUCUCCGCUGAGCGAGUCGAUCUCCCACUGAGCAUGUAUGCUUUUCCACAUACUUUGUUACCCAAAACGUGUUUGUCCCAUGUUUCACACUCGCUCUAAUCUUCCGUUGACAACCACUAACCGGACAUGUUGUCACAAGGAGAGUUUUCGUUGACUUGUAUAUUCUGAAGGAGAACCUAAACCUCACUGCUGUCAACCGCAGCUCUGAAAGCAGUGCAUCUUUGCUAACAAAACUCUGGUUGACAUAGAUAUUGUUACCAUUCGAUCUUCCUGCUUCAAUCUUUUUGAAAUCUUCAAAACACAUAUCAUCAUCUUCCUCAUCCUCAUCUUCAACCUUUCCAUAAACACUGUAAUCCUCACCAUUCUCGUCCGCUUCAGCAACAAUAUAGAUAUCAUCCUCCUCCUCCCCAUCAUCCUCCUCCCCAUCAUGAUUUUCAUCUUCAACAAAAUCAUCAUCAUCAUAUUCAAAACAUUCAUCAGCUUCAUCAUCUUCUUCCCUGAACUCUGAAACCGUUUCCACCUUGCUACGGCUUGAUACACAAAGCCGUACUCCAUGCGUUUUGGUUAUCUCGAGCAAGUUUCGAACUUGUCUAUCACUUGUAACAUGAAUAGGAAGGGUGUUUGGAGCCAGCAUCAUUUCUGCUGGUAAUGAGUAGGUUAUCUCCACAGAUUAUGUGCUCAUGUCCAGGUUAUAAUCUUCUUGAGCCAUUGCAAGAAGUUCAGCAUGUGUCGAACUUUCUCCCAAAAAAUGAUUCUCGCUCCUUUGACAUUAUCAACCACAAAAUUCCAACGGCACUCUUUCAACAACCAUUAUCCAUACACUGCAUGUAACUGACGCAUCAUCUACAAAAAUUCAAAAUAAAACACAUUAGUAAACAUAGAGAAAAUGAAAGUUUACUAAACAUUGACGCAGACGACAUACCAGUAAGUCAUCUGGAAGACUUACCAGUAAGUCGUCCAAACAGGUCAUUUUUGCAAUUGAAUUUUAAAUUGGAAGACUUACUUGUAAGUCGUCCAGCUUUGUUUGUUAAAAAAAAAACUCUAGACAACUUACCAGUAAGUCGUUUAGGAUAAAACGGGUUAGUUUUGCAUUUGACCGAAUUGUGUCAGAUAUUUGACUUUUCCUGGACGACUUACCAGUAAGUCGUCUCUGGGUAAACAAAAAUUUCAAUAUUUUAUUAAAGUUAGACGACUUAUUUGUAAGUCUUCUCAGGUUAGUUUGCAAUUCGAAAAAGAAACUUAAAUGUUUAACUUUACCCAGACGACUUACUUGAAAGUCGUCCAGGUAGACGACUUACGAGAAAGUCGUCCGAGAUAAGCAAGGUUUGACCAGAAUAUAGGAAAUAAAUCUGGACGACUUUGCUUAUCCUGGACGACUUUCAAGUAAGUCGGACGACUUUCAAGUAAGUCAUCUUACUUGACGACUUCCGCGUAAGUCGUAUGGGAAAAGUUAAAUAUUUAAGUUUUAUUUUCCACUUCCAAAAGUAACAUGAGACGACUUGCAGAUAAGUCGUCUAGCUUUAAUAAAAUAUUGAAAUUUUUGUUUUCCCGGAGACGACUUACUGAUAAGUCGUCCAGGAAAAGUCAAAUAUCUAACACAAUUCGGUCAAAUGCAAAACUAAGUCGUCUAGGGUAUUCUCUAGAUUUUUUUUUUAACAAACAAAGAUAACGACUUACAAGUAAGUCGUCCGUUUGACCAGAAGACUUACCCGUAAGUCUUCUACAGCCAGACUACUUACAGGUAAAUCUUCUACGCGAACAGAUCUGGAAAAAAUUUCAAUUUCAUACCUUAAACUAGUGAGAUGACUUCGUUAGCACACAAAGUCUUCUCCAACCACUCAGAACCUCAAACGAAAGUAACCCACCAAGAAUAGUAUGCUUGAAUGGCUCUAUCAACCAUAAAAAAAUUUGAAUCAAAAGCUUGAGUUUUUGGGAUGAAUAUGGAGUUAAAGUGAAAGAGAUGUUGUUUUUGGUUCAUAACAAGUGAGAAAGAGAGUGUGUAAAUCGAUUUGAGGUGCAUUAGGAGCUUCAAAUUGGUUGUUCAUGGUGGUUGGUGCAUUGAUUGUAAUGGCAAUCUUGUAAAUACUUGAAGAUGAUGAGGUUGAGAGAGUAAAAAUGCAAUUUUCGAAAAAAAAAGAAAAAAAAAACUAAUGGCAUUUUCGUGAAUAAUAUGAACUUGUGAGGUGAAUAGGACAAAAGAAAAAUCCAAGAAAAGCAUGGGUUAAUUUUAGGUUUGACUUUGAGUUUUGAGUCAAUCUUGCAAAAAGCCUUAAUCUUAUCAAAUUAUUAUUGCCUUUUUCAAAUAUAGAAAUUUACUGUAUGGUUUUAUAAUAGAUCUUUUUAAGUUUUUUUCAUAGAAAAGAUUUCCAAAGAGGAAAAUAACCAAAAAUUUUCAUUUAAGUGGCAAAAGACACUUAUAUCCUAGAUAGGUAAAUAAAAUAAAAUGAUAAAUCCUCAACAAUCAUGUCUUGAUGAUCACAGGAACCAGUUCUUAUUACUCUCUACAUAUGUGUCUUGCUUAGAAGUGCAUUAGGAUUCCUUAGCCGAAUUAUAUGUUUUCAAAUUCGAACUUUUUAUAAUUUUUUUUGUUUUGAUUUUUUUUUCAAAUUUUCGUUUUGAAAUUCGAAAAAUGCUUUUGAAACUAUUUUUUUUUUCAAAUUUUUAAUAUUUAUUCUUUAUUUUAUAAAAAUUUAAAUUUCAAUCCUAAAACCCAACUUUUAACCCUAAACCCUAAGGUUUAAAUCAGUUAACCCUAAGAGUAUAAUUGUAUAUUUACCUUUUAAUUAAAAUAUUUUGAUCAAUUUGAUCAUUAUCUCUAUAAUAUUAUUUUAUCUGAGAAUUCAGUUUCCUACGCGUUAUUUACAGAAGUACCCUUAAUGAAUUUAAAAUAUUAAAUUUAAAUACUAUUAGUAAAAUUUUAUUUAGUUUCCUUUUUACCUUUUACAAAUAACAUAUAUAAUAAAAAACAUUUAAAAAGUUUAAAACGGAUUUAAAAACGAAAAUAUAUGUAUAUAUAAUAUGAUUCUAUUAAAAAGAAAAUUUCACAAAAUAAUAAUAUUCCAUUUAAACAUAUUUUUACAUAACAAAAAUAUACUUUCAAAGUAAUAAAAAUACUUACUGUAUAUAUUUGUUUUUCUUAGAUGAAAACAAAAAUAUAAAUGACAAUAAAAACAAAAAUAUAUUUUAUAUAAUGUGAUUUCAUAAAAAACAAAGUUCACAAAGAUAUUUUUGAUAUUAAAAAAAUAAAUAUUAUUCCUUUAAAACUUACUUUAUAUAAUAUAAAAUAAAUAUAUUUUUUUAAGUAAUAGAAAUAUUUCUUUAUAUCUAUCUAUUUUCUUAGAUGAUUACUUAAAAAUAAUUAAAUAACAUUUUAGGAGAAAUUACGGGUAUGAAUGGUGACCGGGGAAUGAUGGGGAAUAAUGCAUUCCCUAACGUUCCUAUAAAAAAUCACCAUUCAAAAGGAAUAAUAAUUCAUUUUCAUUCCCUUUCGUUCCUGUUUUUGUAGAGAAUUCAUUUUCAUUCCCUUUCGUUCCUGUUUUUGUAGAGAAUUAAAGGAUAAAAUUAUUCAUCAACACUAAACCCUAAACCCUAAAAAAAUUAACCCUAAACCCUAAAACAUCAACUCUAAAAACCCUAAACCCUAAAUCUUCAACUCUAAACCCUAAACUCUAAACCCUAAAUUUUAAACCCUGAACCCUAGAGUUGAUGUUUUAGGGUUUAGAUUCGAAGGUUUAGGGUUUUCGGGUUUAGGGUUUACGUUUAGUAUUUAGAGUUGAUGUUUUAAGGUUUAGAUUUGAAGGUUUAGGAUUUAAGGGUUUAGGGUUUGAAUUUCAGAAAAAUAUAGGGUUUAGGGUUUCAAAUCUAAACCCUAAACUUUCAAAUCUAAACCCUAAAACAUCAACUCUAAACCCUAAACAUAAACCCUAAACCCUAAAUCUAAACUUAAAACAUCAACUUUAAACCCUAAAUCAUCAACUUUUAACCCUAAACCCCGAAACAUCAACUCUAAACCCUAAACCUUAAACCUUCAAAUCUAAACCCUAAAACAUCAACCCUAACUUUAUUAGAAAUAAAACUAAUUUGAUUUGACUUUAUUAGAAUCAAAAUAAUUAUACUUGAGUUUGAAUUGAAAAGAAUAUAUGUAACUCAAUAUACUCACAACAUGAGUGAAUCAACUAAUCCAACUUAUAUCCGAAAUGAAAAAUCUUGCUACAAUAAAAUAUAAUUCAAUAAUAAGAAUCUAUUUAUUUUUAUGCAUAUAAAUUACAUGACGACUCAAAACAUAUUAAUAAAUAUAAAAAAGUUAACUAAUUGUUACAAUAUAGUUUUAUAUAUAUGUGUGAGACUUCAUAAUAUUAUCAUUAUAUUUAUUUAUGUAAUUUUGAAUCAAACACUUCACUUUAUUUUUUAUUUAAUUCUAAGCACAAUAUCUAUUACAUUUAUACAAAAUCUUGCUAAAAUAUAUUUAUAUAUCUAAGAAAUUAGCUAUAUUUAGAAUAAAAUAUUAUAGCUGAAUUCAGAGAAAUAGAUGCAAUUCAAUAUACACAAGUUAUAGACAAAUCGAUUGUUGACCCAAAAACAACCAAACAGAGGUGAUAUAACAUGUCCAAAACCAUAUGUCUAAUUAAAAUAAUAUAAUAUUAUUAAUAUAAAUCUAUAAAAAUAAAUUAUAAAUUGAUUUAAAAUCAAAAGUAAAUAUCAAUUAAUUAUAGUACAUUAAUUUUAUAAAUAUUUAUGCCCGUGCAUGAGCACAGGAGAAUCACCUAGUAUAUUAUAUUUGUUACAAAAAAAAAAUAGUGUUAUGCAAAGGUAUUUCUCUUUAUAAUAUCAAGGUGCAGGUAUUUCUCUUUAUAAUAUCAAGCUGCAACCCAAAUUCUCUUUUAAUUUCUAACUUAUUAUAAGAUAUUUGAUAAUAUUCUAAGGAGAGAAUUUUGUUUAGUAAACUAAAAAGAAAAAAGGAGAAUCACAAUGGAAAAAAAAAGGAAAUAGGAAACAAAAAUUCAAAUGUCGAAUAGAAAAGGAAACCCCUAAAUUGUUACAAAAAAAAAAGAAAAGGAAAACCCUAAAAUAUAUAUUCUUAUAUAUACUAACCGAAGGGUGCCAAAACAAAGCAAAAAACAAAGAAAAAACAAUCAAACGAUGGAGGAGAAUGGGGAGGCCGGUCCUGCUAGCUCGUCCGAUUUCUCGAGUGCAUUGCCGGCAGAGAUACAAUCUAAAACUUGAAGCGGGAAAGACAAAGUUAGGAGCGAUUCUUGAGAUGUCCAUAGUUGAAGAGGGACGUGGAUCCCGUAAGGGUUGUGCAAGGACACGGGUCUAUCUCUCGAUUCCUGUUAUCGAAGGGCGUUCAAGACAAGUCAUACUUGAAACUUUGACGACAUCAGGAAUAAGCGAGGAAGAUGGAAAAUUCAUAGUAUCGUCCAUGAAUUGUCUUUAUAAUGAACUCAUUCUCUUCAAGUGUCGGUCAGGUGGAUUGUUAACGCUGUAUAUGAAUGUCUUGGUGAGGGUUGAUCACUAUCACAACAUUCGCAGGGGCAUCAAAAUCGAUCAGGACCAUCGGAUCAUCAAGGCUGAUCAAUACGACGGAGUUUGGGACUCCGACUCUAUCGUAGUUGAUCAUGAGGAGGGCUGGAAGCAUGUCGCCCGGAUUUAUAUGGAUGACGACAAAACCCUAAGGUAUACCUUUCCCCGGGCUGAUAUAUAUUGCCAUUCAUCAAAUACACUUUGAGCCUGCGAGUGAGAGUGCAGUAAGAAGUUUAAAGAUAUCACGGAUAGAGGAGAAGAUCUGUUGCGCAAUCUGUUUAGAAGACUUGCCGGUUGGGUCAGCUGCCUCUAGUUUGCCAUGUCAGCAUCACUUCCACACCGGAUGCAUCUUGGAAUGGCUCAAGAACAGCCGCUUUUGCCCCACUUGUCGUUUAGUCUUACCUGCCAAAGAAAGAAUUUUCUCAAAUAUAUAAAACUUUUCCAAAUUUAAUUAUUAACAUAGACACACAAUCAUAUUGAACGGGUUUAUGUCAAUAUCUGAGCACCACACGUUUGAUUGCAACUAUAAUAGGAGACUUUUGAAUCCCUGAUUCUGUGACUCAAAACUUUUUUUUUUCCGUGACUUGAACUCGACGCUACAUUAUGAAAUAAGCUGUAUAAGUAAUUCCAAAAGAUAAAUAACGCAGCUCAAUAAACCAUGCAUUAACACAACUAUCAAUCAAAUCAGAAUUUUCACUGAAUCUAUUACCAGUUUUAGUUUUUGCAAAUCAGAACAUAAGGACACCUAUAGUAAUGGUCUCUCAUCAUUGCUUCUUACGAAAAAUAUUAGUAAAAAAAUAAAAAGUGGGAGAGAGAAGGCAGAAAACAUCAAAAUCAUUAUUGUUAGAGUUGGUUAUAUGUUUACAUUCCCCUAUUGUACUCGACAUCAUCUUCUGUUUCUUCCACAUCAUAAUUCAACACCCAUUCAAUUUUUAUUCUCUAUAAGACUAUGUACAAUAGUUUCAACAUCUUCCAAUUUAUCUUUUAACACUCCAUGUCAUCUUCUCUUUCUUACACAUCAUCAUUCAACAUACAUUCAACUUUUAUCCACUACAAUGGUUUUGUUGACUAAUAUUCAACAUUCUAUUUUAUUAAUUAAUAAAUUUUUUUCUAUAUCCAAAUUACAUAAAUCUAGUCUCUAUUUAUAGAUAAUGUAAAAUGAUAAAUUUUAGUAUAAGAAAUAAAAAUAAAUUAUUUAAUUUAUAAUGAGAUUAAUUAGUUUCAAUUAACUAAGAGAAUAUUAUAAUAUCAAAAAUCAUUAGAAAGUGCAUGUGUCGUCGGUGGUCUCUGCUUUCUUCUUAUUCAACAUGUUGAAUCUUUUCAACACCAAUUAAUCCACAUCAUCUAAUUUUAUUUUUCAACACCUUCAUUGUAGGGAUUCAAUUGUUGAAUAUUUUAUUCAAUACCCCAAUUAUACAUAUAGUCUAAUGGUUUUGUUUUAAAAAAAAUUACAACACCUUACCCUACUAAUUUUGUUUAUACUCUUAUUUAAUUUUAUGUUUUGGGUGUUAAAAGGAUAUUAUUGGAAUUCAUUUCACUAAAAAGAUUUUUAAUGAUAAAACAAAAAUUUAGUAGGAGCUAAUAACAAAAAUAUAGUAAAAAAGAUGAGUUUUUUUUUCCGUGUCCAAAUGAAAUGAAACGAGUCUCUAUUUAUAAAGAAUGAAAAUUGAUGAAUUUUGAUAUAAAACGGGUUCAUAAUUUAAUUAUUUUUAUAGAAUAUGUGAUUUAAUGAUUUAAUAUGUAUUAGUUUAUUUUAAAUAGAUAAUUUAUAGUUGUUAUAAUGAAAUAAUAUUAUAUUUUAUUACAGUUUGCAAGAUUUUUAUCUUCAGCAGAAUAUGAAUACGUAGCUAUAAGACAAAUAUAAUCAUCUAGAUAUAUAUAUCUUAAAGUUUCUGCAAAUUAUCUAAACUUAUAGAUAUUUGAUUAGAAUUAGUAAGUAAUAUAUUAUAUUUAAUAUAAAAGUAAACAAAUAUAUCAAUGUCUUGAGAAUGUUUAAGGGAUCUCUUAUAAUAUAUUUCAGAAUGUAUUAAAAUUAAUCUUAUAUUUUUGAUUAAUUUUGUGUACAAUUAAAUUUAUGCCUAAUAAUUAAGAGUUAUUCUUGAGUUCACCCCUUAGGGUGAACCUCUAGGUUCACCAUCCAAUAGGAUUUAGUUAUUUCAUAUUUGACAUCUUUUAAAAAAAGAAACAAAAUAUUGUCAAAUUGUAUUAUGUUUUAAUAAUAAAAAGGUAAAAAAUAAAUUAAAAUAAUAGUAAUUGAAAAAAAAAACGAACUAAAAAAAAACUAUUUUUAACAUCGUCAACUAAACACUAAACCCUUGGGUAAACCCUAAACCAUUGGAUAAAUCUUAAAUUCUAAAUCAAAAACACUAAACACUAAACACACUAAACCCUAAACCCUAAACCCUAAACCCUAAACCCUAAACCCUUUGGUAAACCCUAAAUCAUUGGAUAAAUCCUAAACUCUAAUUCAAAAAAAUUAAACACUAAUACACUAAACUCCAAACCCUAAAUCCUAAACCCUAAACUCUAAAUCCUAAACUCUUGAGUGUUUUAGUGUUUAGUUUUUUAUUUAGAGUUUAGGAUUUAUCCAAGGGUUUAGGGUUUAGG